Molecule: ribosomal RNA, 523 nt
Filed under: uncultured bacterium
Lineage: Bacteria
Description: bacterial SSU rRNA
Rfam family: Bacterial small subunit ribosomal RNA
Source: RNAcentral
AACGCUGGCGGCAGGCCUAACACAUGCAAGUCGAGCGCCGUAGCAAUACGGAGCGGCAGACGGGAGAGUAACACGUGGGAACGUGCCCUUUGGUUCGGAACAACCCAGGGAAACUUGGGCUAAUACCGGAUAAGCCCUUACGGGGAAAGAUUUAUCGCCGAAGGAUCGGCCCGCGUCUGAUUAGCUAGUUGGUGGGGUAAUGGCCCACCAAGGCGACGAUCAGUAGCUGGUCUGAGAGGAUGAUCAGCCUCACUGGGACUGAGACACGGCCCAGACUCCUACGGGAGGCAGCAGUGGGGAAUAUUGGACAAUGGGCGCAAGCCUGAUCCAGCCAUGCCGCGUGGGUGAUGAAGGCCCUAGGGUUGCAAAGCCCUUUCGGCGGGGAAGAUAAUGACGGUACCCGCAGAAGAAGCCCCGGCUAACUUCGUGCCAGCAGCCGCGGUAAUACGAAGGGGGCUAGCGUUGCUCGGAAUCACUGGGCGUAAAGCGCACGUANGCGGAUUGCUAAGUCAGGGGUGAAAUC